This is a non-coding RNA of Ciona intestinalis (vase tunicate), 464 nucleotides long. The record is from RefSeq and is a predicted model, not a curated record. Lineage: Eukaryota; Metazoa; Chordata; Ascidiacea; Phlebobranchia; Cionidae.
UUAAAACUUAUGUACGUUUCUGCAUAUUCAAUUUAACUUUGACUAUAUUUGUUUAAAAAAAUAAUUUAUUCUACAUCACAUAUAUUAUGCUAAUUGUUUUUUUUUAAUUAUUUAGCAGCGGAUUGGUAAAUUUUAAAAUUAAGUAUAUUUUGGAGGAAAAUUCUAAGACAGAAAUCGGUGAUCAAAACACUAUUGAAAAGCAAAACUUGAAAGGACCUGUAAGCUCUGUAUUCGAAGAAACGUGACCUCCAAGCCAUCGGAGCUUCCAUGAUCUCGUUCCCAAACACGAUCAGGAUAUCUCGAGGCAUGGCAGAAUAAAGACCGACUAAAUAUUGAACAAACAGUCUUAUGGACAAGUUGUAAACUGCGGAACGCAUGCCCCAUCAGGUCGACCAACAAUUACUUCUUCAAGUGGAUCCCAUUCGUUGUGCGAGUUAACCGGUAUAGAGGGUUGCGGUAUCUCC